This is a long non-coding RNA of Vidua chalybeata, 291 nucleotides long. RefSeq lists it as uncharacterized. Lineage: Eukaryota; Metazoa; Chordata; Aves; Passeriformes; Viduidae. The record is from RefSeq and is a predicted model, not a curated record. The transcript has 3 exons.
CUCAGCUCAGGACAGAGCUGUCUUGUGGCUUGUAGCACUGAGUGCAGCCCCUCAAGAAGCAGCUUUUCUCUCCAUUUCAGACAUUCUGAAUUCCCCACUUAGAGGUUUCUCUGACUUGGCCCACCACUGCAGCAAUGGUGAGAGCUCUACAGAAGCUUUUAUACAUGGAUUGCAAGGGGAUUACUCCACACUAAAGUGCUUUCUGAUCAAUGACUACAAGUUCUUUUUUUCACCUCCUUAUUACACGCUCAUCACCGAUGAAGAGAAGGAGAAUCUAAAAUCCAAAGUUCA